GAUGAACGCUAGCUACAGGCUUAACACAUGCAAGUCGAGGGGCAGCAUGAACUUAGCUUGCUAAGUUUGAUGGCGACCGGCGCACGGGUGAGUAACACGUAUCCAACCUGCCGAUGACUCGGGGAUAGCCUUUCGAAAGAAAGAUUAAUACCCGAUGGCAUAGUUCUUCCGCAUGGUGGAACUAUUAAAGAAUUUCGGUCAUCGAUGGGGAUGCGUUCCAUUAGGUUGUUGGCGGGGUAACGGCCCACCAAGCCUUCGAUGGAUAGGGGUUCUGAGAGGAAGGUCCCCCACAUUGGAACUGAGACACGGUCCAAACUCCUACGGGAGGCAGCAGUGAGGAAUAUUGGUCAAUGGACGAGAGUCUGAACCAGCCAAGUAGCGUGAAGGAUGACUGCCCUAUGGGUUGUAAACUUCUUUUAUACGGGAAUAAAG
RNAcentral lists this ribosomal RNA (432 nucleotides) under uncultured bacterium. RNAcentral's name for it is "bacterial SSU rRNA". It matches the Rfam family "Bacterial small subunit ribosomal RNA", at positions 28 to 451 of the family's 1533-position model. The record is from RNAcentral.